CAGCCGCCGCGGUAAUACAGAGGGUGCGAGCGUUAAUCGGAUUUACUGGGCGUAAAGCGUGCGUAGGCGGCUUCUUAAGUCGGAUGUGAAAUCCCUGAGCUUAACUUAGGAAUUGCAUUCGAUACUGGGAAGCUAGAGUAUGGGAGAGGAUGGUAGAAUUCCAGGUGUAGCGGUGAAAUGCGUAGAGAUCUGGAGGAAUACCGAUGGCGAAGGCAGCUAUCUGGCCUAAUACUGACGCUGAGGUACGAAAGCAUGGGGAGCAAACAGGAUUAGAUACCCCUGUAGUCCCUGUCUCUUAUAA
Molecule: ribosomal RNA, 301 nt
Filed under: uncultured bacterium
Lineage: Bacteria
Description: partial 16S ribosomal RNA
Rfam family: Bacterial small subunit ribosomal RNA
Source: RNAcentral